Molecule: transfer RNA, 76 nt
Filed under: Staphylococcus aureus
Lineage: Bacteria; Bacillati; Bacillota; Bacilli; Caryophanales; Staphylococcaceae
Also listed under: 1 other name
Description: tRNA-Thr
Rfam family: tRNA
About the family: Transfer RNA (tRNA) molecules are approximately 80 nucleotides in length. Their secondary structure includes four short double-helical elements and three loops (D, anti-codon, and T loops).
Source: RNAcentral
GCCGGCCUAGCUCAAUUGGUAGGGCAACUGACUUGUAAUCAGUAGGUUGGGGGUUCAAGUCCUCUGGCCGGCACCA